AUUGAACGCUGGCGGCAGGCCUAACACAUGCAAGUCGAGCGGGGUUUUCGGACCUAGCGGCGGACGGGUGAGUAAUGCGUAGGAAGCUACCCGAUAGAGGGGGAUACCAGUUGGAAACGACUGUUAAUACCGCAUAAUGUCUACGGACCAAAGUGUGGGACCUUCGAGCCACAUGCUAUCGGAUGCGCCUACGUGGGAUUAGCUAGUUGGUGAGGUAAUGGCUCACCAAGGCGACGAUCUCUAGCUGGUUUGAGAGGAUGAUCAGCCACACUGGAACUGAGACACGGUCCAGACUCCUACGGAGGCAGCAGUGGGGAAUAUUGGACAAUAGGGCGCAAGCCUGAUCCAGCCA
Molecule: ribosomal RNA, 352 nt
Filed under: uncultured bacterium
Lineage: Bacteria
Description: bacterial SSU rRNA
Rfam family: Bacterial small subunit ribosomal RNA
Source: RNAcentral